This is a small nucleolar RNA of Nothobranchius furzeri (turquoise killifish), 132 nucleotides long. The record is from Ensembl. Lineage: Eukaryota; Metazoa; Chordata; Actinopteri; Cyprinodontiformes; Nothobranchiidae.
UCUGCACCCAAACCCAAAGGUCACGCCGUGGUCAGUGGCGUGAUUUUGUCUGGUGUGCAAACAGGAAAUGGUCCUUGUCGCCUUUCUCUGAUGCUGCGGUGCCUUUGAAAGUGAAUUCAAGGUCCAACAUGC